Molecule: ribosomal RNA, 975 nt
Filed under: uncultured beta proteobacterium
Lineage: Bacteria; Pseudomonadati; Pseudomonadota; Betaproteobacteria
Description: bacterial SSU rRNA
Rfam family: Bacterial small subunit ribosomal RNA
Source: RNAcentral
GUCGAACGGCAGCACGGGUACUUGUACCUGGUGGCGAGUGGCGAACGGGUGAGUAAUACAUCGGAACGUACCUUAUCGUGGGGGAUAACGCAGCGAAAGCUGUGCUAAUACCGCAUACGCCCUGAGGGGGAAAGCGGGGGAUCGAAAGACCUCGCGCGAUUAGAGCGGCCGAUGCCUGAUUAGCUUGUUGGUGGGGUAAAAGCCCACCAAGGCGACGAUCAGUAGCUGGUCUGAGAGGACGAUCAGCCACACUGGGACUGAGACACGGCCCAGACUCCUACGGGAGGCAGCAGUGGGGAAUUUUGGACAAUGGGGGAAACCCUGAUCCAGCAAUGCCGCGUGAGUGAAGAAGGCCUUCGGGUUGUAAAGCUCUUUUGUCAGGGAAGAAACACCGGCUCUAACACAGUCCGGGAAUGACGGUACCUGAAGAAUAAGCACCGGCUAACUACGUGCCAGCAGCCGCGGUAAUACGUAGGGUGCAAGCGUUAAUCGGAAUUACUGGGCGUAAAGCGUGCGCAGGCGGUUAUACAAGACAGGCGUGAAAUCCCCGGGCUUAACCUGGGAAUGGCGCCUGUGACUGUAUAGCUAGAGUGUGUCAGAGGGGGGUAGAAUUCCACGUGUAGCAGUGAAAUGCGUAGAUAUGUGGAGGAAUACCAAUGGCGAAGGCAGCCCCCUGGGAUAACACUGACGCUCAUGCACGAAAGCGUGGGGAGCAAACAGGAUUAGAUACCCUGGUAGUCCACGCCCUAAACGAUGCUGACUAGUUGUUCGGGAUUUACAUCCUGAGUAACGUAGCUAACGCGUGAAGUCAGCCGCCUGGGGAGUACGGUCGCAAGAUUAAAACUCAAAGGAAUUGACGGGGACCCGCACAAGCGGUGGAUGAUGUGGUUUAAUUCGAUGCAACGCGAAAAACCUUACCCACCUUUGACAUGUACGGAAUUUGCCAGAGAUGGCUUAAUGCUCGAAAGAAACGUC